AGAAUCAACGCUGGCGGCGUGCCUAACACAUGCAAGUCGAACGAGAAAGUGGAGCAAUCCACGAGUAAAGUGGCGCACGGGUGAGUAACACGUGACUAACCUACCCUUGAGUGGGGGAUAACCUAGGGAAACCUGGGCUAAUACCGCAUAAUACCUACGGGUCAAAGGAGCAAUUCGCUUAAGCGAGGGGGUCGCGGCCGAUUAGUUAGUUGGCGGGGUAAUGGCCCACCAAGACGAUGAUCGGUAUCCGGCCUGAGAGGGCGCACGGACACACUGGAACUGAAACACGGUCCAGACUCCUACGGGAGGCAGCAGUGGGGAAUUUUGCGCAAUGGGGGAAACCCUGACGCAGCAACGCCGCGUGGAGGAUGAAGUCCCUGGGAUGUAAACUCCUUUCGAUCGGGACGAUAAUGACGGUACCGGAAGAAGAAGCCCCGGCUAACUUCGUGCCAGCAGCCGC
This 460-nucleotide ribosomal RNA is filed under the name uncultured bacterium. RNAcentral's name for it is "SSU rRNA". It matches the Rfam family "Bacterial small subunit ribosomal RNA", at positions 26 to 518 of the family's 1533-position model. The record is from RNAcentral.